GACGAACGCUGGCGGCGUGCCUAACACAUGCAAGUCGAGGGGUGAUUUCGGUCAUCACUGGCGCACGGGUGAGUAACGCGUAGAUCAUCUGCCCCUAUCACUGACAUAACAGUUCUAACGGACUGCUAAUAUCAGAUGAGGUGAGCAAUCAUCAAAGUUUCGACGGAUAGGGAUGAGUCUGCGUCUGAUUAGGUAGUUGGUGAGGUAACGGCUCACCAAGCCGACGAUCAGUAACUGGUCUGAGAGGACGAACAGUCACACUGGAACUGAGACACGGUCCAGACUCCUACGGGAGGCAGCAGUGGGGAAUAUUGGACAAUGGGCGAAAGCCUGAUCCAGCAAUGCCGCGUGAGUGAUGAAGGCCUUAGGGUGUAAAGCUCUUUUACCAGGGAUGAUAAUGACAGUACCUGGAGAAUAAGCUCCGGCUAACUCCGUGCCAAGCAGCCGCGGUA
Molecule: ribosomal RNA, 452 nt
Filed under: uncultured bacterium
Lineage: Bacteria
Description: bacterial SSU rRNA
Rfam family: Bacterial small subunit ribosomal RNA
Source: RNAcentral